UAAAAAUGCUGGAGAGCCUAAGUAUGGAAACUUUUUGAGAGAACACUCAAAAGAAGUUUGGAGAAAAAGAGGCGUAAGUGGUUUGCCAUCCUCCAAAUUCCUUGUUUGAAAUUCCAAUCUGUGCUGGAAGAGACAAAAUAAUAAAAUGCUUCUGCAAAGAAACAAAAACAAAUAACAAUUUGAAAAGGUAAGUCUUUCCCUAAAAAAACUAAUUCGUUACUACUGAAAUUAAGUACUAAAAAUUACUUCGUUACUAUGGAAAUUAAGUACUUGAAAUUUUACAGGGUGGUAGACCAUCACGGCAUCAC
Molecule: long non-coding RNA, 308 nt
Filed under: Setaria italica (foxtail millet)
Lineage: Eukaryota; Viridiplantae; Streptophyta; Magnoliopsida; Poales; Poaceae
Description: long non-coding RNA (SITA_LNC000259)
Source: RNAcentral